AUUGAACGCUGGCGGCAUGCCUUAUACAUGCAAGUCGAACGGCAGCGGGGGAGAAGCUUGCUUUUCCUGCCGGCGAGUGGCGAACGGGUGAGUAAUACAUCGGAACGUGCCCUGUAGUGGGGGAUAACUAGUCGAAAGAUUAGCUAAUACCGCAUACGACCUGAGGGUGAAAGUGGGGGACCGCAAGGCCUCAUGCUGUAGGAGCGGCCGAUGUCUGAUUAGCUAGUUGGUGGGGUAAAGGCCUACCAAGGCGACGAUCAGUAGCUGGUCUGAGAGGACGAUCAGCCACACUGGGACUGAGACACGGCCCAGACUCCUACGGGAGGCAGCAGUGGGGAAUUUUGGACAAUGGGCGAAAGCCUGAUCCAGCAAUGCCGCGUGUGUGAAGAAGGCCUUCGGGUUGUAAAGCACUUUUGUCCGGAAAGAAAUGGCUCUGGUUAAUACCUGGGGUCGAUGACGGUACCGGAAGAAUAAGGACCGGCUAACUACGUGCCAGCCGCCGCAGUAA
Molecule: ribosomal RNA, 508 nt
Filed under: uncultured bacterium
Lineage: Bacteria
Description: partial 16S ribosomal RNA
Rfam family: Bacterial small subunit ribosomal RNA
Source: RNAcentral